UCGAGAAUCUUCGGCAAUGGACGCAAGUCUGACCGAGCGAUGCCGCGUGCGGGAUGAAGGCCUUCGGGUUGUAAACCGCUGUCAGUUGGGAGGAAGGUUCGCCGAAGAGGCGAAUUUGACCCAUCUUCAGAGGAAGUACGGGCUAAGUUCGUGCCAGCAGCCGCGGUAACACGAACCGUACGAACGUUAUUCGGAAUUAUUGGGCUUAAAGGGUGCGUAGGCGGCGCGUUAAGUCGGGUGUGAAAUCCCUCAGCUCAACUGAGGAACUGCGCCCGAUACUGGCGUGCUCGAGGGAGACAGGGGUGAGCGGAACUGAUGGUGGAGCGGUGAAAUGCGUUGAUAUCAUCAGGAACACCGGUGGCGAAAGCGGCUCACUGGGUCUCUUCUGACGCUGAGGCACGAAAGCUAGGGUAGCGAACGGGAUUAGAUACCCCCGUAGUCC
Molecule: ribosomal RNA, 442 nt
Filed under: uncultured prokaryote
Description: bacterial SSU rRNA
Rfam family: Bacterial small subunit ribosomal RNA
Source: RNAcentral